Molecule: long non-coding RNA, 520 nt
Organism: Hippocampus comes (tiger tail seahorse)
Lineage: Eukaryota; Metazoa; Chordata; Actinopteri; Syngnathiformes; Syngnathidae
Exons: 3
Source: RefSeq, a predicted model, not a curated record
UGUGCGGACGCCUGACAUUGAACCUGCUCUUAUUGGAACGAAACGACUCCGGUCGUGCUGACCUCACCGUCUUCCAGCCUUGUUGUCCCGUCAGCCUUCUUGACGAGUUGUUGCAUGAUCGCUAACAUGAAGGGGAACCGAGUCCGAGACGUUUGAACAGAAGAGACUGUGAAUCCAGUUUCAUGCUCCGCUGCCUAUCGGUGAGGAUCCACUCCUCAGCUCCACAAGCUUCGAUGCGACCCAAGAGCGAAAAAUUCCCCAAUUGUCAGGCCACCCUUUGAGGAACUCGUCACGCGGCUCCAACCGACCGUCAACGCUUCUUUUUGAAAACGUGCUCUUUUUGUUUACUUUGGCGGGCACUUGGGUUGAAAUUGUUUCCGUCUGAUGUCGGCCUUGAGCUUGGAUGCGGGCGGGCUUGUCUGCCAACUAGCGGUGAACACUGUUAUUACAAUUUAAAACCGCCCCGCCACAGAAAACGUCUUGAUUUAGUGUUUGAGAGUGCUGAUGUUUGAAUCCAGCC